RNAcentral lists this long non-coding RNA (755 nucleotides) under Vigna radiata. RNAcentral's name for it is "long non-coding RNA (VRAD_LNC017535)". Lineage: Eukaryota; Viridiplantae; Streptophyta; Magnoliopsida; Fabales; Fabaceae. The record is from RNAcentral.
CCUAACACUCUAACGGUCUUUCAUUCUCACUUAGAGAGGAUUGACGCGUGUGGUGAGAGUAGUGGGAGGUCCUAGGGUAGGCGCUUUCACUGUAGGCCUAUACUACGGUAACGGACUAGCCUUGUGUAUGGUCGGGUGGAACCCCUCGGCAAUGGCUUUGCAAAGCAGUAGGGCCAUCACAAGUGCACAACCCGCCCCAGCUCUAUAUACAUUCUAUGUCCGGAUGUGUCGAUGAGUCUUAACAUGACAUGAUGUUUGCUUUAGUGAGUUUUGUGAAAUCAAUGUUUAUGUUUAUGAUGACUUAUAUGUUUAAGUGUGUAUGAACGUUCUUGCAAUGAAUUGUAUAAUUGUUUGAGACCUAGCUCACCCUUGCACUUGCAUGUUUGUAUGUGUUUGCCUUCCCCCUUGCGAUGAUCAUCCAAUCCUUUGGAUGUGAGCAGUAGGUGAUGAGGUACCCUUGGAGCAGGCGUGGGAGACUGAGGAAGAUCCAGCACCUAGUGCUUAGGCGAUCUUGUUGUUUUAUUUUUUUUAGCUUAUCAUAUUUUGCAAAACCUUGGACCUUGGUACUUUAAUUACUUGUCGUUUUAAUUUCCCCUCUAUUUUGGAUGACUGUAAUUUAUACUUAUACAGUUAUUUUCUACUCCUAACUGCUCUCUAUUAUUAUAAUAUGUUGCAUUCCAUUUGGUAUGAAUUAUACACACAUUUUGGGAUGUUACAAAGUGAGUAUUUACGACUUUUAUGAUGUAUUUCAGGUG